Molecule: ribosomal RNA, 253 nt
Filed under: uncultured bacterium
Lineage: Bacteria
Description: partial 16S ribosomal RNA
Rfam family: Bacterial small subunit ribosomal RNA
Source: RNAcentral
UACGGAGGAGGCAAGCGUUGCUCGGAAUCACUGGGCGUAAAGGGCGCGUAGGCGGGGAGGUAAGUCGGGUGUGAAAUCCCUCGGCUCAACCGAGGAACUGCCCCCGAGACUGCUUCUCUUGAGUCCCGGAGAGGAAGGUGGAAUUCCCGGUGUAGCGGUGAAAUGUGUAGAUAUCGGGAGGAACACCGGUGGCGAAGGCGGCCUUCUGGACGGUGACUGACGCUGAGGCGCGAAAGAGUGGGGAGCAAACGGG